AAAAAUAUUUUUUUGAGAAAUGGAUUUGAUGAAUAUGGAUGAAAGUGUUUUUACUUGCAAGGAUUUAUUUCACAUACAUAUCUUGAUCCUUGUAAAAAUGAAGCAUGAUUUAAUCUCUCACGAUUCUAACUUCACUCGAAGUAAACUCACAAAUAGCAUGUAUCACAAAUAGUCUUCCUCCGUCAUGCAAAAAGAUAAUAACAGAUAAAAAAGGAAGAAGUUUUCAAAGCUAUCUCCAUGUCAUGUUUUCCUUGAGAUGUUUGUAUAAUU
This 270-nucleotide long non-coding RNA is filed under the name Musa acuminata (dwarf banana). Its description in RNAcentral is "long non-coding RNA (MACU_LNC007006)". Lineage: Eukaryota; Viridiplantae; Streptophyta; Magnoliopsida; Zingiberales; Musaceae. The record is from RNAcentral.